This 263-nucleotide ribosomal RNA is filed under the name uncultured bacterium. Its description in RNAcentral is "partial 16S ribosomal RNA". It matches the Rfam family "Bacterial small subunit ribosomal RNA", at positions 90 to 354 of the family's 1533-position model. The record is from RNAcentral.
UCUUAGUGGCGGACGGGUGAGUAACGCGUGGUAACCUGCCUUAUACAGGGGGAUAACACUUAGAAAUAGGUGCUAAUACCGCAUAAGCGCACGGGGCUGCAUGGCCCAGUGUGAAAAACUCCGGUGGUAUAAGAUGGACCCGCGUCUGAUUAGCUUGUUGGCGGGGUAACGGCCCACCAAGGCGACGAUCAGUAGCCGGCCUGAGAGGGUGGACGGCCACAUUGGGACUGAGACACGGCCCAAACUCCUACGGAAGGCAGCAG